This 2094-nucleotide non-coding RNA is filed under the name Chaetothyriales sp. MCRE1. RNAcentral's name for it is "SSU rRNA". The stretch from base 1 to 1607 matches the Rfam family "Eukaryotic small subunit ribosomal RNA". The record is from RNAcentral. Lineage: Eukaryota; Fungi; Ascomycota; Eurotiomycetes; Chaetothyriales.
UCCCGACUUCGGAAGGGAUGUAUUUAUUAGAUAAAAAACCAAUGCCCUCCGGGGCUCCCUUGGUGAUUCACAAUAACUCGACGAAUCGCAUGGCCUUGCGCCGGCGAUGGUUCAUUCAAAUUUCUGCCCUAUCAACUUUCGAUGGUAAGGUAGUGGCUUACCAUGGUCUCAACGGGUAACGGGGAAUUAGGGUUCGAUUCCGGAGAGGGAGCCUGAGAAACGGCUACCACAUCCAAGGAAGGCAGCAGGCGCGCAAAUUACCCAAUCCCAACACGGGGAGGUAGUGACAAUAAAUACUGAUACAGGGCUCUUUCGGGUCUUGUAAUUGGAAUGAGUACAAUCUAAAUCCCUUAACGAGGAACAAUUGGAGGGCAAGUCUGGUGCCAGCAGCCGCGGUAAUUCCAGCUCCAAUAGCGUAUAUUAAAGUUGUUGCCGUUAAAAAGCUCGUAGUUGAACCUUGGGUCUGGCCGAUCUGUCCUCCUAAUCGAGCGCACGGAUUCAGCCGGACCUUUCCUUCUGGGGAGCCCGAUGCCCUUUACUGGGCGUCGCGGGGAACCAGGACUUUUACCUUGAAAAAAUUAGAGUGUUCAAAGCAGGCAUUUGCUCGAAUACAUUAGCAUGGAAUAAUAGAAUAGGACAGAGGUUCUAUUUUGUUGGUUUCUAGGACCGCUGUAAUGAUUAAUAGGGAUAGUCGGGGGCGUCCGUAUUCAAUUGUCAGAGGUGAAAUUCUUGGAUUUAUUGAAGACGAACUACUGCGAAAGCAUUCGCCAAGGAUGUUUUCAUUAAUCAGUGAACGAAAGUUAGGGGAUCGAAGACGAUCAGAUACCGUCGUAGUCUUAACCAUAAACUAUGCCGACUAGGGAUCGGACGGUGGUUCUUUUAUGCCCCGUUCGGCACCUUACGAGAAAUCAAAGUGUUUGGGCUCGGGGGGGAGUAUGGUCGCAAGGCUGAAACUUAAAGAAAUUGACGGAAGGGCACCACAAGGCGUGGAGCCUGCGGCUUAAUUUGACUCAACACGGGGAAACUCACCAGGUCCAGACAUGCUUAGGAUUGACAGAUUGAUAGCUCUUUCUUGAUUGUAUGGGUGGUGGUGCAUGGCCGUUUUUAGUUGGUGGAGUGAUUUGUCUGCUUAAUUGCGUUAACGAACGAGACCUUGACCUGCUAAAUAGUCCCACCCACUUUGGUGGGUGGCCGACUUCUUAGAGGGACUUUUGGCUCAAGCCAAUGGAAGUACGAGGCAAAAACAGGUCUGUGAUGCCCUUAGAUGUUCUGGGCCGCACGCGCGCUACACUGACAGAGCCAGCGAGUACACCACCUUGGCCGAAAGGUCUGGGUAAUCUUGUUAAACUCUGUCGUGCUGGGGAUAGAGCAUUGCAAUUAUUGCUCUUCAACGAGGAAUGCCUAGUAAGCGCAAGUCAUCAGCUUGCGUUGAUUACGUCCCUGCCCUUUGUACACACCGCCCGUCGCUACUACCGAUUGAAUGGCUCAGUGAGGCCUUGGGAUUGGCCAGGGGAGGUGGGCGACCACCACCCCAGGCCGAAAACUUGGUCAAACUUGGUCAUUUAGAGGAAGUAAAAGUCGUAACAAGGUUUCCGCAGACGUCAGUCUCGGGAUAAGUUGAUGCAUCCUUCUGCAGUGAACACUUAUUGGAAGCCUUUAAGAGCUGCCGGAAACGGUGAGGUUUCGACGACUGUAAACAACAGAAACCCAAGAGCUAGUGGAAGACCGGCCGUCUGGCGGGCGUUCUUUCGCGACACUGUCAAAUUGCGGGGAUCCCCUUAGAGCUUGUCGCUACCAAGCGCCGUCUCGAACAGAGCGGCGUGGCCAGGGUAAUUCCCUCGGGUACGGUCACAACGCGCAAGAUUGGGUAACCUGCAGCCAAGUCCUACCGGCCGUUUUAGGCCCACGGAUGCUGUUCACAGACUAAAUGGUAGUGGGUGACGAAGCCCUCCGUCGUUGGAGGGUAGAGUCGCUUAAGAUAUAGUCGGGCUCCCGGGGAGACUCGGGGGAAAAGUUCACAAGGCCGUGGGGGCGACCCCCUCACGGACCUGCACCAUAAACCGUUCCGUAGGUGAACCUGCGGAAGGAUCAUUA